Molecule: ribosomal RNA, 508 nt
Filed under: uncultured bacterium
Lineage: Bacteria
Description: partial 16S ribosomal RNA
Rfam family: Bacterial small subunit ribosomal RNA
Source: RNAcentral
GACGAACGCUGGCGGCGUGCCCAAUACAUGCAAGUCGAGCGCAGGAAGUCAUCCGAACCCUUCGGGGGGACGUUGACGGAAUGAGCGGCGGACGGGUGAGUAACACGUAAAGAACCUGCCCUCAGGUCUGGGAUAACCACGAGAAAUCGGGGCUAAUACCGGAUGGGUCAUCGGACCGCAUGGUCCGAGGAUGAAAGGCGCUCCGGCGUCGCCUGGGGAUGGCUUUGCGGUGCAUUAGCUAGUUGGUGGGGUAAUGGCCCACCAAGGCGACGAUGCAUAGCCGACCUGAGAGGGUGAUCGGCCACACUGGGACUGAGACACGGCCCAGACUCCUACGGGAGGCAGCAGUAGGGAAUCUUCCACAAUGGACGAAAGUCUGAUGGAGCAACGCCGCGUGAACGAUGAAGGCCCUCGGGUCGUAAAGUUCUGUUGUAAGGGAAGAACAAGUGCCGCAGGCAAUGGCGGCACCUUGACGGUACCUUGCGAGAAAGCCACGGCUAACUACGUG